GGAAUUUUGGACAAUGGGGGAAACCCUGAUCCAGCCAUGCCGCGUGCAGGAUGAAGGCCCUCGGGUUGUAAACUGCUUUUGUACGGUACGAAAAGUUCUUCUCUAAUACAGGAGGGCGAUGACGGUACCGUAAGAAUAAGCACCGGCUAACUACGUGCCAGCAGCCGCGGUAAUACGUAGGGUGCGAGCGUUAAUCGGAAUUACUGGGCGUAAAGCGUGCGCAGGCGGUCUUGCAAGACAGUGGUGAAAUCCCCGGGCUCAACCUGGGAACUGCCAUUGUGACUGCAAGGCUGGAGUACGGCAGAGGGGGGUGGAAUUCCGCGUGUAGCAGUGAAAUGCGUAGAUAUGCGGAGGAACACCGAUGGCGAAGGCAGCCCCCUGGGCCUGUACUGACGCUCAUGCACGAAAGCGUGGGGAGCAAA
RNAcentral lists this ribosomal RNA (422 nucleotides) under uncultured bacterium. Its description in RNAcentral is "bacterial SSU rRNA". It matches the Rfam family "Bacterial small subunit ribosomal RNA", at positions 358 to 772 of the family's 1533-position model. The record is from RNAcentral.